This 253-nucleotide ribosomal RNA is filed under the name uncultured bacterium. RNAcentral describes it as "partial 16S ribosomal RNA". It matches the Rfam family "Bacterial small subunit ribosomal RNA", at positions 524 to 776 of the family's 1533-position model. The record is from RNAcentral.
UACGAAUGGGGCAAGCGUUGUUCGGAAUCACUGGGCUUAAAGCGUGCGCAGGCGGCCAAGCAAGUCAGGAGUGAAAUCCCCGGGCUCAACCCGGGAAUUGCUCUUGAAACUACUUGGCUAGAAUCCCGGAGAGGUUGGCAGAAUUCCGAGUGUAGAGGUGAAAUUCGCAGAUAUUCGGAGGAAUACCAGUGGCGUAAGCGGCCAACUGGACGGGCAUUGACGCUCAGGCACGAAAGCGUGGGGAGCAAACAGG